RNAcentral lists this ribosomal RNA (460 nucleotides) under uncultured bacterium. RNAcentral's name for it is "partial 16S ribosomal RNA". It matches the Rfam family "Bacterial small subunit ribosomal RNA", at positions 338 to 795 of the family's 1533-position model. The record is from RNAcentral.
CCUACGGGUGGCAGCAGUGAGGAAUAUUGGUCAAUGGACGAGAGUCUGAACCAGCCAAGUAGCGUGAAGGAUGACUGCCCUAUGGGUUGUAAACUUCUUUUAUAUGGGAAUAAAACGUUCCACGUGUGGGAUUUUGUAUGUACCAUAUGAAUAAGGAUCGGCUAACUCCGUGCCAGCAGCCGCGGUAAUACGGAGGAUUCGAGCGUUAUCCGGAUUUAUUGGGUUUAAAGGGAGCGUAGGUGGAUUGUUAAGUCAGUUGUGAAAGUUUGCGGCUCAACCGUAGAAUUGCAGUUGAUACUGGCAGUCUUGAGUACAGUAGAGGUAGGCGGAAUUCGUGGUGUAGCGGUGAAAUGCUUAGAGAUCACGAAGAACUCCGAUUGCGAAGGCAGUUCACUAGACUGCAACUGACACUGAGGCUCGAAAGUGUGGGUAUCAAACAGGAUUAGAUACCCCUAUAGUC